CCUUCUUCAAUGAAAUCAAUACAAAAAUUUUAUCCCUUUGGCUUGCUAGAUUGACAAGAUUUGAAUCCUUACUCUCCUAACUUAGUUCUAAGGAUAAAUCAAGAAAGAGAUGAUUCAACACCUCCUUCUCCUCUAAUGGAACGUUGUCGUAAUACGUAAAGUCUUGCUUGAGAAUGCUCCGGGUACUUGAUUGUGGAAGGAAGAAUAAAAAUUGCAAUAACAAAAUCCUAAUUCUAAUAGAAUACUAACAAUGCUCUAAUUAAACCAUACUAAUGCUAAGAAAGCUUAAUCAAAUUCAAAAAACCUCAAAGAAAUUUCAAACAAAUAAUAAGAAUUCUUAAAGAAAUAUUAAAAGGAUCACAAAUAUCACUCAAAUACAUCUCAAUUCAAUCUUAAUUUAAUUCUAGUUAAAAUCCUAUUGAACUUCAUUCAAACUUUAGGUCAAAACUAAUUAAAUCAUAAAUCCUAAUAAAAUCCUAAACCCUAAAUCAAACCCUAAAUAAACCUUAAACCAAACCCUAAUCAAAUCCUAAACCAAAUCCUAAAUCAAAUUCUAAAUCCUAAAUCAAAUCCUAACCAAAUCAUAAUCCAAAUUCUAAAUCCUAAACCAAAUCCUAAUCCAAAUCCUAAACCAAACCCUAACCAAAUCCUAAUCCAAAUCCUAAACUCUAAAUCAAACCCUAAUCCAAAUCCUAAACCCUAAAAUCAAAUCCUAACUAAAUCUUAAACCCUAAAUAAAAUCCUAACCAAAUCCUAAAUCCAAAACCAAAUCCUACAUCCAAAAUCAAACCCUAAA
RNAcentral lists this long non-coding RNA (796 nucleotides) under Physcomitrium patens. Its description in RNAcentral is "long non-coding RNA (PPAT_LNC008110)". Lineage: Eukaryota; Viridiplantae; Streptophyta; Bryopsida; Funariales; Funariaceae. The record is from RNAcentral.